GUUCGCCAGCACAGAAUCCAGGUGAAGACAAGAGCUUUGUUUUCGCAGGAGGAUGGGGUGCCUCUGUGGCUUCAGGACAACUUUCAGCCUCACGACCCCGAGGAAAAAGCUUCCGGUCCAGGGUCAGCUGAGGCUUAUCCCAGACAUUUUUCUAAAUAGAGGAGAACACUGUUUCUCUGAAUGAGGGGCCAACCCCUGGACCGUGUCCACGAGGCGCUCCCUCCCAGCACACCUGCGAAGCCUCCCCAACGGAGACUGCCCCGUGGGCUGGCCUUUCCAGAAGGAGUCCUCCCUCCACGGCCCCACCUCCUCACCCAUUCAGCACUCUGGCUCUCCUUCCAUCUCCAACAUGGCGACUCUGAAGUGGGACUCGAGCGUGGAGUGUUUCCUUGUUUGACCAAGCUAGACCAAGACAGCGUCGUGCUCCUUUCCCCAUCUUGGGAGUGUACUCUUCCUCAGGGGUGCAAAGGUUUGACCUUUCCAGCCAUCGUGAGUCUCCACGCAGGCACAGUAUUUCUCCUUCUCCAAAGAAGAAUUCGAAUGGCUCACCUCCUGCCCUAGAAACAGAGCCAGUGUUUCCGGAACUGUAUAGUGACGAUUUGUGGACAAAAACAACUCUAAGUUUUGGGGUAUGUGUUUUUACAUCCAAAGAAAAAUGUUGCUAAAAGGCUUUGGAAAUACUUGGUAUUUUUCUUCAAGUCCCUUUCAGUAGACUGAGUUAUGAAUACUUGUAAAGCACAUGGAGGUCUGUCAGUACAGGACAUGAAUGGUA
Long non-coding RNA from Hipposideros armiger (great roundleaf bat), 772 nucleotides. RefSeq lists it as uncharacterized. NCBI's taxonomy places the organism in Eukaryota, Metazoa, Chordata, Mammalia, Chiroptera, Hipposideridae. The transcript is spliced from 3 exons. The record is from RefSeq and is a predicted model, not a curated record.